Molecule: ribosomal RNA, 434 nt
Filed under: uncultured bacterium
Lineage: Bacteria
Description: partial 16S ribosomal RNA
Rfam family: Bacterial small subunit ribosomal RNA
Source: RNAcentral
AGCGAACGCUGGCGGCAGGCCUAACACAUGCCAGUCGAACGAACCUUUCGGGGUUAGUGGCGGACGGGUGAGUAACACGUGGGAACGUGCCUUUAGGUUCGGAAUAACUCAGGGAAACUUGUGCUAAUACCGAAUGUGCCCUUCGGGGGAAAGAUUAAUCGCCUUUAGAGCGGCCCGCGUCUGAUUAGCUAGUUGGUUGAGGUAAUGGCUCACCAAGGCGACGAUCGGUAGCUGGUCUGAGAGGAUGAUCAGCCACAUUGGGACUGAGACACGGCCCAAACUCCUACGGGAGGCAGCAGUGGGGAAUCUUGCGCAAUGGGCGAAAGCCUGACGCAGCCAUGCCGCGUGAAUGAUGAAGGUCUUAGGAUUGUAAAAUUCUUUCACCGGGGACGAUAAUGACGGUACCCGGAGAAGAAGCCCCGGCUAACUUCGUG